CGGGGUGAGUAACACGUGGAUAACCUACCUAUAAGACUGGGAUAACUUCGGGAAACCGGAGCUAAUACCGGAUAAUAUAUUGAACCGCAUGGUUCAAUAGUGAAAGACGGUUUUGCUGUCACUUAUAGAUGGAUCCGCGCCGCAUUAGCUAGUUGGUAAGGUAACGGCUUACCAAGGCAACGAUGCGUAGCCGACCUGAGAGGGUGAUCGGCCACACUGGAACUGAGACACGGUCCAGACUCCUACGGGAGGCAGCAGCG
Molecule: ribosomal RNA, 260 nt
Filed under: uncultured Staphylococcus sp.
Lineage: Bacteria; Bacillati; Bacillota; Bacilli; Caryophanales; Staphylococcaceae
Description: partial 16S ribosomal RNA
Rfam family: Bacterial small subunit ribosomal RNA
Source: RNAcentral